CCUACGGGAGGCAGCAGUGGGGAAUAUUGCACAAUGGGGGAAACCCUGAUGCAGCGACGCCGCGUGAGCGAGGAAUUAUUUCGGUAUGUAAAGCCCUGUUUGCAGGGAAGAAGAAUGACGGUACCUGAAGCAGAAGCACCGGCUAAAUAAGGGCCAGCAGCCGCGGUAAUACGUAGGGUGCAAGCGUUAUCCGGAUUUACUGGGUGUAAAGGGAGCGCUGGCGGUUCUGUAAGUUUGAGGUGAAAGCCCGGGGCUCAAACGCGGGACUGCAGUGGAAACUGCGGUACUGGAGUGUCGGAGGGGUAAGCGGAAUUCCUGGUGUAGCGGUGAAAUGCGUAGAUAUCAGGAAGAACACCGGUGGCGAAGGCGGCUUACUGGACGAUGACUGACGCUGAGGCUCGAAAGCGUGGGGAGCAAACAGGAUUAGAUACCCGUGUAGUC
This 441-nucleotide ribosomal RNA is filed under the name uncultured bacterium. RNAcentral describes it as "partial 16S ribosomal RNA". It matches the Rfam family "Bacterial small subunit ribosomal RNA", at positions 338 to 795 of the family's 1533-position model. The record is from RNAcentral.